RNAcentral lists this ribosomal RNA (937 nucleotides) under uncultured bacterium. RNAcentral's name for it is "bacterial SSU rRNA". It matches the Rfam family "Bacterial small subunit ribosomal RNA", at positions 561 to 1501 of the family's 1533-position model. The record is from RNAcentral.
UAAAGAGCAUGUAGGCUGAUUAGUAAGUUGGAAGUGAAAUCCUAUGGCUCAACCAUAGAACUGCUUCCAAACUGCUUAUCUAGAGUAUGGGAGAGGUAGAUGGAAUUUCUGGUGUAGGGGUAAAAUCCGUAGAGAUCAGAAGGAAUACCGAUUGCGAAGGCGAUCUACUGGAACAUUACUGACGCUGAGAUGCGAAAGCGUGGGGAGCAAACAGGAUUAGAUACCCUGGUAGUCCACGCCCUAAACGAUGCACACUAGUUGUUGCUAUGCUAGACAUAGCAGUAAUGCAGUUAACACAGUAAGUGUGCCGCCUGGGGAGUACGGUCGCAAGAUUAAAACUCAAAGGAAUAGACGGGGACCCGCACAAGCGGUGGAGCAUGUGGUUUAAUUCGACGAUACGCGAAGAACCUUACCUGGCCUUGACAUAGUAAGAAUCUAAUAGAGAUAUAAGAGUGCUAGUUUACUAGAGCUUACAUACAGGUGCUGCACGGCUGUCGUCAGCUCGUGUCGUGAGAUGUUGGGUUAAGUCCCGCAACGAGCGCAACCCUCGUGUUUAGUUACUAACAGUUCGGCUGAGGACUCUAGACAGACUGCCUGGGUAACCAGGAGGAAGGUGAGGACGACGUCAAGUCAUCAUGGCCCUUACGGCCAGGGCUACACACGUGCUACAAUGGGGUAUACAAAGAGCCGCGAUACCGUGAGGUGGAGCAAAUCUCAUAAAAUAUCUCCCAGUUCGGAUUGAAGUCUGCAACUCGACUUCAUGAAGUUGGAAUCGCUAGUAAUCGUAGAUCAGCAAUGCUACGGUGAAUACGUUCCCGGGUCUUGUACUCACCGCCCGUCACACCAUGGGAGUUGAUUUCAUUCGAAGCGGGGAUGCUAAAAUAGCUACCUUCCACAGUGGAAUUAGCGACUAGGGUGAAGUCGUAACAAGGUAACC